GGUUUUAUAUUUUAUGUUAAAAUAUUGGAUUGCAAAUCUAAUGAUGGGUUAUUCCUAAAACUU
Molecule: transfer RNA, 63 nt
Filed under: Parafagocyba longa
Lineage: Eukaryota; Metazoa; Arthropoda; Insecta; Hemiptera; Cicadellidae
Description: tRNA-Cys
Source: RNAcentral